This 216-nucleotide ribosomal RNA is filed under the name Glomeromycotina sp. Its description in RNAcentral is "partial small subunit ribosomal RNA". The stretch from base 40 to 216 matches the Rfam family "Eukaryotic small subunit ribosomal RNA", at positions 686 to 864 of the family's 1831-position model. Lineage: Eukaryota; Fungi; Glomeromycota. The record is from RNAcentral.
GGGUCAGUAGGUUGGUCGUGCCACCGGUACGUACUGGUCUCACUGAUUCCUCCUUCCUGAAGAACCGUAAUGCCAUUAAUUUGGUGUUGCGGGGAAACAGGACUGUUACUUUGAAAAAAUUAGAGCGCUUAAAGCAAGCUAACGCUUGAAUACAUUAGCAUGGAAUAAUGAAAUAGGACGAUCGAUCCUAUUUUGUUGAUUUCUAGGAUUGACGUA